UACAGAGGUCCCAAGCGUUGUUCGGAUUCACUGGGCGUAAAGGGUGCGUAGGCGGUCGGGUAAGUCUGAUGUGAAAUCCCACAGCUUAACUGUGAAACUGCAUUGGAUACUAUUCGGCUUGAGAGUUGGAGGGGGGACUGGAAUUCUUGGUGUAGCAGUGAAAUGCGUAGAUAUCAAGAGGAACACCAGUGGCGAAGGCGAGUCCCUGGACAACUUCUGACGCUGAGGCACGAAAGCUAGGGGAGCAAACAGG
This 253-nucleotide ribosomal RNA is filed under the name uncultured bacterium. Its description in RNAcentral is "partial 16S ribosomal RNA". It matches the Rfam family "Bacterial small subunit ribosomal RNA", at positions 524 to 776 of the family's 1533-position model. The record is from RNAcentral.